RNAcentral lists this ribosomal RNA (383 nucleotides) under Strombidiidae sp. RNAcentral describes it as "partial small subunit ribosomal RNA". It matches the Rfam family "Eukaryotic small subunit ribosomal RNA", at positions 582 to 975 of the family's 1831-position model. The record is from RNAcentral. Lineage: Eukaryota; Ciliophora; Spirotrichea; Strombidiidae.
AUUCCAGCUCCAAUAGCGUAUAUUAAAGUUGUUGCAGUUAAAAAGCUCGUAGUUGGAUUUCUGGGAGGGUGCCAAUGUCCGUCGUCGUACGUGUUGCAGCGGCGCCCUUCCAUCCUUCUGUUAACGACUUUGGGCAUUCACUUGCCGGAGUCGGGCUCAGAUAUUUUACCUUGAGAAAAUUAGAGUGUUUCAGGCAGGCUAGGCCGGAAUACAUUAGCAUGGAAUAAUGGAAUAGGACUACGGUCUCUUUGUUGGUUUGAGGGACUGCAGUAAUGAUUAAUAGGGAUAGUUGGGGGCAUUAGUAUUUAAUUGUCAGAGGUGGAAUUCUCGGAUUUGUUAAAGACUAACUUAUGCGAAAGCAUUUGCCAAGGAUGUUUUCAUCA